Long non-coding RNA from Ictalurus punctatus (channel catfish), 226 nucleotides. RefSeq lists it as uncharacterized. The transcript is spliced from 3 exons. Lineage: Eukaryota; Metazoa; Chordata; Actinopteri; Siluriformes; Ictaluridae. The record is from RefSeq and is a predicted model, not a curated record.
GUGGUGUUGAAGGGAGCUGGAGUCAGCUGUGGGUGAGUCAGUGGAUCCUACGGAACAUUAUUAAUUCACCUGCAGCACAGAGGAGGAAGGAAACAGGGGAAGAAUCGCUGAUUCAAUUACAACCAAUUCCCCACACACACAAGAAAUCGCAAAAAGCGUAAACUCCUCUGUUCUGAAGAUGUCCUGAAGUGAUUGCAAAGUGCUAACAGUGGAGGCUCCUUCCAUA